AGAGAGUUGCAUCUAGGUUCUAAUCAAUUUCAAGGGAGGAUACCACAAGGUAUUGGAAAACUUUCACAGCUUAGAAUUUUGGACGUCUCGUCCAAUAGGCUGGAAGGAUUACCAGACAGUAUGGCGCAACUAUCGAACCUGGAAAGUUUUGAUGCCUCUUACAAUGCCCUGAAGGGUACAAUCACUGAGUCCCAUCUUUCAAACCUCAAGUAUGGGGCAACUAUCGAACCUGGAAAGUUUUGAUGCCUCUUACAAUGCCCUGAAGGGUACAAUCACUGAGUCCCAUCUUUCAAACCUCUCCAGUUUAGUGUAUUUGGACUUAUCGUUCAACUCGUUGGCUUUGAAGACGAGCUUUGAUUGGCUUCCUCCUUUUCAGCUUCAAUUUAUAAACCUUCCAUCUUGCAAUUUGGGACCUUCUUUCCCCAAGUGGCUU
RNAcentral lists this long non-coding RNA (433 nucleotides) under Nicotiana benthamiana. RNAcentral's name for it is "long non-coding RNA (NBEN_LNC028242)". Lineage: Eukaryota; Viridiplantae; Streptophyta; Magnoliopsida; Solanales; Solanaceae. The record is from RNAcentral.